AGUCCACCACGUAAGGACACAGCAAGAAGGCACCAUCUAUGAACCAGGAAGCAAAACAGUCCUCAUCAGGCACCAAUCUGCUGGCACCUUGAUCUCGGACUUCCCAGCCUCCAGAACUGUGAGCAAUAAAUUUGUUGUUUUUAAGCCGCCCAGUCUGUGAUGUUUUGUUUUAGCAUCCCAGACUAAGUAAGGGUUUAAAAGAGGUGAUUAAGUUAAAAUGAGGUCAUCAGGGUGCACCCCAGUCCGACAUAGCUGAUGUCCUUAUAAGAAGAGGAAAUUAGGACACAGACAUAUGCCAUGUGAAGACGCAGGGAGAAUGUGACAUCUGCAAGCCAAGGAGAGAGGCUGCAGGAGAAACCAGCUCUGCUGACACUUUGAUCUCAAGCUCUGGCCACCAGAACUGUGAGCAAAUAAGUGUCUGUUGUUUAGGGCACCCUGUCCAUGGCACCUUGCUCCGAUAGCCCCAGGAAACGAAUCCACAGCACAGGUUUGUGCUCAGAAGCCCCUACACCAGCUGCUGCGUGAUGGAGAACAGGAGUCAAAGCACGGAGGCCGGCAGAAAAUCAAGAGGCCGGUCCUGUGCAUGGGCAAGAGGCCUCAGGGAUAUAUUAGCUGAGGAGGAAGCCGAGGUUGGGAAAGGUGGAGGGACUUGCCCAAGUCACACAAACGACAACUCAGCAGAGCUGAGAAUUGGCACCCAGGGCAACUGGAGUCCAUCCUGAGCUUGUCACUGCUGGGCUCUGAGACCUCCUGGUGAAGAAGGACAGUGGCAGAGACAGCCCGACCCAGAGAAACCCAGCAACGCUACUUUCUAAGGGCAUUUUUCCCUCUCAUUUGGAAUCCUGAGCCUCCUGCUCGUCCUGUAGGCCACACCCAGCAAACAGAGCUGGCUGGGAACUGGGAGAAGAGCUGGAGCAACAGCCUGCAUCCAUUUCCUCUUGCUGCAAUAACAACUGAUCACAAGGUCAGUGGCUUAAACAACACAGAUUUACUCUCUUACAGUCUGAAGUAAGAGCCAAGAUGUCAGCGGGGCCGUGUUGCUUCCAGAGGCCCUAGGGAAAUCCAUUUCCUUGCACUUCCAGCUUCUAGAGGCCACCUGCGUUCCUUAGCUUGUGGCCUCAUCCUCAUUCUUCAAAGCCAGGCAUGUAGCAUCUUCCGGCUCCUCUCUCUCGCUCUGACCUUCCUGCCUCUCUGUUACAAGGAUCCACUUUUGUGGCUAAAAUGGGUCCAUCCUCCCCAGCCUGAAUGUGAAGACCCCCUCCUCCACGGCACCCCAUUGCCCAGGACAAGGAUGGGGCCCAUCACUGCUGCCCAGAGGAUAGGGAGACCCUCUCCAGGUUUCCUGGGAAGGCAUCAAGAUGUUCCCAAGGCUCAAAGAAAAAAGAAAUGGCUGGGCAUGGUGGCUCAUGCCUGUGAUCCGAGCUCUUUGGGAGACCAAGGCAGGAGAACCACUUGAGCCCAGGAGUUUGAAACCAGCUUGGACAGUGAUGGGCAAACCCCAUCUCUACAAAAAAUAAAAAAGUUAGCUGGAUGUGGUGGUGCACACCUGUAGUCCCCAACUAUUUUGAAGCGAGAUCACUUGAGGCCUUGAGGCUGGGAGGUUAAGGCUGCAGUCAGCCAUGACUGCUCCACUGCACUCCAGCCUGGGCAACACCGUGAGCCCUGAUCUCAAAAAUAAAUAAAUAAACAAAUAAAGAUGCUCCCAAGGGUGCUGGGCUCUGUUGGCCCAGGCCUGUAGUCCUGCUCCCUUGCCAGAAGUAAGAGCUGGCCUAAGGGAGAGCUGAAGCUUGCUCUGACGGGGACUCCUAAGUCCCUACAGAUUCUGCAGAUUCUCCUAGGGAUCGGUACCUCCUGGUUUGGGGAAUGGUCCCAGGAGCUGAUCAGUUGGGCCGCACUAGGCUCUGGACCUCCCUUCUGGGGGGAAGAGGAGGGGACUCCAGGGCCUGGGACCAAGGGCAUGUCCAGGGAGCUUGGAGCAGGGAAGCCCUGCCCUGCCCUAUACCUGCUGAGCAAGAAGCAAGAGCAGAAGGACUCUUGCUCCCUCUCUGAGCCUCAGGGGUCUGUUAGGAAGGUGGGGAUACCCUCAAAGCCUCCCUCCUGGGUCCUGUGGGUCAGUGCAACCUGUUGAGCAUGCCCUGCCUAUUUAGAAGAGGCAGGGACGCCAGGGACAAAUCUUGUGCUAAGCAGACAUGGGCCUUCAUGGGGCUUCCAUGGUACCAUGAAGACAGCCAUGGCCCUGCCUGGGUCCUGGAGAGAAGGGGAUGAGAAGGAGAGCUGCUGCUCGCUUGCAGCUCAGCUGACACCCAACACAAGCAAAAAGAUCUUUCUGCUUCCAAGGCACUGAGACACGGAGGUUGUUCAUUACCACAGCACAAUCCAGCAAGAGGUGACCAACACACUCUCCCCAGCUGCAUCUAGUUGCAGCUGGUGCACUCCCUGUAGGCCCUCUUUCUCACUUCUGUCUGCUGUUAGGGACUCUACAGCCCAGGACCCCAGGCUGGAGAAAUCAGCAAGCUAGUUGAUUUCUCCCUCUCCCUCAAUUUCCACAAUUCUUCAGUUGCUGGGGUCACACGACUCUGCAGUCCAGAACUCCUCCCCCUUAGCGAUCGGCUCUUCCCCAACCCCUCCCCAACCUCUCUUCCCUGCAGCCCGAGAACUCCCUGCUUGCUGGGCAUAGUGUCUGCACCCCAAUUAUGGGAGCAGAACAGAGGUCCCUCACCUGGGGUAUGCCAUGAGUAGAACUCAGGACAUUCAUGAACUUGGAUGGAGAAAAAAAAAAUCCCAUCUCCAUUUUCUCUAACAUCUAACUACAGUGUAGUAUUUCCUUCCAUGAUGAUCAUACCCAGCAAAGCCAGAAGUCAGUGGUACCUGCGGCACUGUUACCAACAGAAAUCACAGCUGUCUUCUGAUCACAACAAAGCUGGUGCAGAUUUCUCAAAAUCUCACUCAUCACUCCGUUGCAGACCCGCCGCCACAUCUUGUUAAUGCUUAGUAAAGAGGCACAUUUAUUAUCACAUCACAAAUGUGAUUUAUUUUUUCUUUUCUUUUUUAGAUGGAGUCUCACUCUGUCAACCAGGCUGGAGUGCACUGGCGCAAUCUCGGCUCACUGCAGUCACCUCCUCUCAGGUUCAAGUGAUUCUCCUGCCUCUGCCUCCUGAGUAGCUGGGAUUACAGGUGCAUGCCACCACGCUCUGCUAAUUUUUGUAUUUUUAGUAGAGACGGGGUUUCACCGUGUUGGCCAGGCUGGUCUGGAACUCCUGACCUCAGGUGAUCCGGCUGCCUCAGCCUCCCAAAGUACUGGGAUUACAGGCAUGAGCCACCACACCUUGCCACAAAUGUGGUUUUUAAAUGUGGUUUUUAAAAAUAUCUUGAUAGCCAUAUUUCCAGUGACUCGGUUUCCUGUGUAAUCCUACGUAUUUGUUAUGCAUGUACAAAGAAGACAGGGCAUGAAGGUGUCACCAGAUGCCACAGCAGCCCACAGCACAGAAAAGGUCACAACCACCUACUUCAGAGAAAGGCACUGGGGACCUUGGCUAUGUGGACAAGAACCAGGAGCUUGGGCUUCCCAGGCACAGCAGGGAAGCCUGCAGGGGCCUGACAGGUGGAUAACCUAGUGCCCAAGGCAGGGCUGGGUGGAGGAGAGAGUGGCACCCUCUGAUUGUCUGAGGUCUCUAUCUCUAGAGGACAGUACCACAGAUUGGAAGCCAGGUCUUUCCAGAGUCCCUGUGACCUCCUCUUUCUGCAUGAAACCCAGAUUGAGUAGGAAAAUGUCCCCAGGAGGAAGCAGCCACUGCCCAAGGGAGACAGCUAGAGACUCGCUGGGCAGGCUACAUCCCUGGGCUUCUCUCGGACCCGACAAGAGCCUGUCCAUCCCUUCACCUCCACUAAGAUCAGGGCACCCCAGGAGUCUCGGCAGGGCCACCCCAGGCUCUGCUCUGCCCUGGAAAGGUCCUCGUUUCACACUGACUCAGUUUCAGUUUUGGAAGGAGGUCAGAGGUUGCCUCCAUGUCCCUUCUCCCCACUGGUUCUCUGGAACCCUCCAUCAUAGAUGUCCCUGCCCUUCCUUCCCUGCUCAGGAGCAAAACCCCCAACCCCCAGGAGCUGGUCUCUCUAAGUCCUCUUGGAUCAGGCCAGGCUCAGCCCUGGAGGCCACAGCUCAGGCCCUGAGCCAGCCCAAGGGGCAGGGCGAGGAACCUACAUUGUUGUGUGCCCAGCCCCUUUAAGGGGCCCAUACGGACAAGAGCAAAUUCAGUAGGUUGCGUCAUCCACUCUAUAGUGAUUAAACAGGGAUGGUGGAGAAGUAGAGAAGUGUCAGCUCUGGAACCAGGUGGCCCUAGAUUGAAAUCCUAGCUCUGCUAUUUACCAGCCAGGUGGCCUUGGAUAGGUGAUUUGACCAAUACCGUUCCUCCGUUUCCCCACCUUGAGUGUUAUUGCAAGGAUUAAAUGAGUUACUACAAAGUAAAGUACUAAAUACAUAUCAGCUAUUAUUAUUAUUACUACUACUAUUAUUAUUAUGAGCCAGGAGAUGGGGACUGUGACAUAGGCUGCUGGUCUCUUCUCUCCUCUUCCAUAAGAAUAGUUCACCCCAUCCUUAGCUGGGUGUAUGGCCACCUGGCCCAAAACUACAUUUCCCAGCAUCCCUUGCUGCUAGAUGUGACCAUGUGAUCAAGUUCUGGCCAAUGAGAUGCCAGGAGAAGUGGUUUGGCCCACUUCCUGGGAGUUUUCUUUAAAGGACAGGGGCAAUGCCUUCUCCUUUUCUUCUCCUUUCUGCUGACCAGAAUGUGAGCAUGGAGUCUGGAGCAGGAGCAGCUGUUGUGCACUGUGAGGUUGAAGCCGUGUGUUGAGAAUAGCAGAGCAACAAAGCAAUAGGAGCUGGAGCCCCUAGGGGCCAUGAAGCCCCUACCAGCCCUGGACUGCUUAGAUUUACUUGAGCAAGAAAUAAACCCUUGAUUGUUUAAACCGGUGUGAUUUGAAGUCUGCCCUGUUGGAAGCACAACCAGAUCCUCUUUAACGAGGCACAGCAGAGAGUAACAUGCACAGCCCCUGCCCUCUGGGAAUCACUGUCUAGUUGGGGAGAGAGACAAUAAUCAUGUAAACAAAGAAGGAAGUCGUGGUGGUUAUGAAAAGAGCUAUGAACGAUGGGCCAGAGAACGUGGUGGGGAGUGGAGGAGGCAUGGACCGACCCUGGGAGGACUCUUGAAGAAGGAGGCAGCUAGCUACCAUCUAACUGGGAAGAGCAGGGAAGAGUGUCCCUGCAAAGGGAAUGAAGGAGCACAGAAGGAGGCCGCUCAGCUCUGUGAUUCAGAGCACAGGCCUCAAGAGUCGGGGGUCCUGGGCCCCUGGCCUGGCCCUGCCUCUCCCCCGGUGUGGGACCUGGGCAAGCCACUCCCCUUCCUCUCUCUGAGGCAAAGUGCUCAGCAAGUUCCUGACACAUAGUAGAUGUUCAACGAGAGAUCAUGGUUUUGGGUGGGGUGUGGUGGCUCACACCUAUAAUCCCAGCACUUUGGGAGGCCUAGGCAGGCAGAUAGCUUGAGCCCAGGAGUUCAAGACCAGCCUAGGCAACAUGACAAAACCCCGUCUCUACAAAAAAUACAAAAAUUAGCCAGGUGUGGUGGCACAGGCCUGUAAUCCAGCUACUCAGGAGGCUGAGGUGGGAGGAUCUCUUGAGCCUGGGAGGCAGAGGUUGCAGUGAGCUAUGAUUGUGCCACUAUACUCCAGCCUGGUGACAUAGCAAGGAAGGAGAGAAAGAAAGAGAAGAAAGAGUGAGAAGAGGGAAAGAAGGAAGGGAGGGAGGGAGGGAGGGAGGGGAGGGAAGAAGGGGAAAAGAAGGAAUAAAGAAAGAUUACUGUUUUAGAAGACACAGGUGAAAUGUGAAUGAAAUCAGAGAUGGGGUAAAGCCUGGGAGGGUCUGUUAGGUCUUUAUAGCAGAGGGAGCAUUUAGAUUGGGUCCUGAAGGUUGUAUAGGAGUUUUACUAAGAUAGUGGGAAGAAAGGAUAUUCUAGGGGAGUGGAUCACAGGCCCUUUCUAUUCCCCAUCCACUUUGGGGCCGGCCCCAUCCACCAGGCCUCUUCAGAUCCUAGCUUCCAAUUUCUGUUUCUGUCUCUGGCCAGUCCAUUCAAGGUGGGGUCUGAAAUCCAGGUUGAGAUGUUCUUCUAACCCCAACUAAGCCCUCCUGCUUUUUUUUUUCGUUUUUUUUUUUUUUUCUGGUGGUGGAGGGAAGGGGACAGAGUCUCACUUUAUCUCCCAGGCUGGAGUGCAGUGGCACAAUCUCGGCUCACUGCAACCUCUGCCUCCUGGGUUCAAGUGAUUCUUCUGUCUCAGCCUCCCGAGUAGCUGGGACUAUAGGUGUACACCACCAUGCCCAGCCAAUUUGUGUAUUUUUAGUAGAGACAGGUUUUUGCCAUGUUGGCCAGGCUGGUCUAGAACUCCUGACCUCAGGUGAUCCGUCCACCUCGGCCUUGCAAAGUGCUGGGAUUACAGGCAUGAGCCACCGAGUUUGGGCCCUCCUGCUUCUUUGGGUCCCAUCCUAUGAGUUUCCUCAACUGGGGGAUGGGGACACUGUGGUCUGGAUUCUAUUGGUGCCCAGGUCCUGCAAGACCCCGCUUAACCAGGGCCCUAGCAGACCCCCUGCCACCACUUUACCUCUGCCACAUCAAACUGCCCUUCCCUCAACAGCAAGCCCUUCUUCUGUCUCCCCUCAUAAAAGCCAGCUCACAGUUCCCACUGCCCCCUACUCUUCCCCUCCCUCCACUCACUCUCCUUAGCCCUAACCUUUGCUUUCAGCUCAACCAUGUCACUUCCUCCCAGAAGCCUUCCCCUGAUGUCUGUGGCUGGUUUAGGGCCUUUACGCUGAGCUGCCUGUAGUCUCACCAUCACAGCACAUAUUUGUGGGUGUCUUUGAUUCAUGUCUGUUUCACUAUACAGUGAGCCUAUGCACAGAGGUAUCCACAGCAUUAGCACAGGGCUAUACAUAGUAGGUGCUCAGGAAGGAAGGAGGAGACUUAGUCCAGCCCUCCAGGAAAGAUGAGAAAACCAGCUGAGAAGCUGGGCCCAGGUGGGUCAGGUCUCCUGUCUGCUGCCCCCAGGGGGAGCCCCCCAUCCGGCCUCCCCUCUCCCCUCUGCCUGCUGAACCUGGCAGUGGAGUUGGGUAGGAGUGGGGGAGUGGGAGUUGGUGGUAGGAGCUGCAGAUAGAAUCCCCCAGGGAGGCAGAGGCGAGAACGCUGAGCUCCUAGAUCUCCAGAAGAGCUACAGCUGGCAGGGAAGGAGGCGGAUGAAGCUCACAUCUGGUUCCACCCACCCAGGCUGUGGCUCCAGUGGGCAGCACCGCCCUCCCUGCCCCAGGACUAACCCCUGCCCCCCUCUUCCCUCCUCCCCACACUGUCUGCCUUCCUGGGGAGGCACAGCUGCAGAUUUAGCCGCAGAUUCGUAUGUGUGCAUACAGCCCAGUUGUAGGUGCUGUGUGCGCAUCAGAACACCAACUCCUGAGAGCUGACAUUGAACCCCACCUUGAGACCUGAGGCCAAUUUGCUAUUAUGUUAAACGUACUGAGCCCCUGCUCACCCCGGACAAAUGGACGGCACCUGGGCCUCUCACCUCCCAGGUGGAAUGGAGUUCCAGGUUUGAUCUUGUUGGGAUAGAAAGAUUAAGGAAAGUGGCCGGGCGCAGUGGCUCACACCUGUAAUCCCAGCAUACUGGGAGGCCAAGGCGGGUGGAUCACUUGUCGAGAGUUUGAGACCAGCUUGGCCAACAUGGUGAAACCCCAUCUCUACUAAAUAGAAAAAAUUAGCUGGGUGUGGUGGCAGACACCUAUAAUCCCAGCUGCCAGGGAGGCUGAGGCAGGAGAAUCGCUUGAACCCGGGAGGCAGAGGUUGCAGUGAGUCCAGCCUGGGCAACAAGAGUGAAACUCCGUCUCAAAAGAAAAAAAAUAAGAUAAAGGAAGGAAGAGGGGAGAAGACAGCUGUACAGUGGAGAUGGAUUUAUUGAGAGUAAACCUGAGAAGGGCUCUGGCCGGCAUUACAGCCUGAGGCUUUUUAAAGGGCCCGGUGGGGGAAGUGUGCUUUGAGAGAAGAUCCUAUUGGGAAGGAGUUGGGGAAGGGCUGGCUAGUUAUGACGAAUGGGGACUUCGUUAGGCUCUGUUGCAGUUAGGGCCUAUGCUCUGUUGAAGCUAUGGGCGGGGCUGACAUUUGCGGACAGUUCUGAGACAUGGAAAUUUGAUACUUUAAGAUGGUGGAGACCGGGCGCAGUGGCUCAUGCCUGUAAUCCCAGCGCUCUGGGAGACCAAGGCGGGCGGACCACCUGAGGUCGGGAGUUCGAGACCCGCCUGACCAACAUGGAGAAACCCCGUCUCUACUAAAAAUACAAAAUUAGCCGGGCAUGGUGGCACUUGCCUGUAAUCCCAGCUACUUGGGAGGCUGAGACAGGAGAAUCACUUGACCCCGGGAGGCGGAGGUUGAGGUGAGCAGAGAUUGCGCCACUGCACUCUAGCCUGGGCAACAAGAGUGAAACUCUCUCUCAAAAAAAAAAAAAGAAGAUUGUGGAGUCUCGUUAAGAUGGCAGCACUCUUGUCCUAUCAAUCCAGACUCUAUGGUUAGAUAGGGAGAUGGGCUGGCGUGCUUUUUCUGGCUACUUCCUGCUGAAAGGGGGCCGUAAGAUUGCUGGUUUUGGAUUGACUGGAGGAGUAGCACCGUCUUCAGGUGUUGUUGGGGGGUAGUUUGUGAGAUGGCUGUGAUCCUGUCGGUAAGGAACAUUUAACCAGGAACUGAUUUGGUUGGUUUUCUUGUCGCUCCCUCAUUCUUUGAGCUCUUUCCUUAAGUUUUGGACGGCAUCCCUUACCAAGCCUGGCUGGUUGAGAUAGAAGCAGCAUUCUUCCCCUAGAGAGAGGCAGGAACCUCCCUUCUCUGUUGUAAGGAGGUCGAGUCCUCUCCGGUUUUGGAGGACUCCUCCGGCUGGGGAGUCUAGCUGGUCUUGGAUUCUUACAAGGCCCUUGGCUAUAUCUUCUGAGGAUUCUUGUAGGUCUGUGGAGAGAGACUUAAAAUUUGAGAGUGAAGUGGCUAAUCCCCCAGCUCUUAAACCAAUGCCUGAGCUGAUGCCCAGAACAGCCUAUAAGGCAAUGAUUUGGACUGCCCUUGUCUGUUUGACAUGCUGAAUGGAAGGCACCGGCAGGGCUGGGUUAGGGGGAAUUAUUCCGAAGCCUGGAGAAAGGGGGCCCAGAGUACAGGUGCCUGUCCAAUCGGUUGGGAGGCAGAGGUAAGUGUUGGUGCCAGGCAGGAAAACAGGCCUGCUUCGGAAAUGCAGGUAGAGAUAUGAAGGGAAAAAAGGUGGAUUAAGGGCCUUUGGUUGUUUGUGGUGGGUUCCUGGCUCCAAACAGACAGUGUAGAUGCAAGGAGGCUCUGAUGAUGGUGAAGAUGUGUUGGGAGUCAACCUUUGAACAUUUGAUGCGAUCUGGAGCAGGACCAGUUAUGGAUAGCCACGGAUAGAGAUGUGUGUUGGGGAUAGAGCAAUUAAAGGAGGUAGCCGUGAUGUGGGGGGUGGCUAUAAAGCGAACUGGUUGGAGGAGCAACCCACUGGCUUCUGGUGACACUUGAUAUUCAACCCGGUUAGUUUGAUGGUCUGUAGCGUGCUGGAUAGAAAUGGUUUUGUUACAUUCUCCUGGAAUGAGGGAUCCUAUGGGGCACAUGCCCUGUGUGGCUGAAAAACAGUGGAGCCCAUUGAAGGAGAGGGAUAUGAAGAGUAAGGGGUCCUUCAAUAGAGGGGGCGGGGGGGAGCAUAUUUUGUGUUUUGUUUUGUUUUUGAGACAGGGUCUCGCUCUGUUGCCCAGGCUGGAGUGCAGUGUUGCCAUCUCGGCUCACUGCAACCUCCGCCUCCCAGGUUCAAGCAAUUCUCCUGCCUCAGCUCCCCGAGUAGCUGGGAUUACAGGUGUGCGCCACUGCGCCCGGCUAAAAUUUUGUAUUUUUAGUAGUGAUGGGGUUUCACCCUGUUGGUCAGGCUGCUCCUGAACUCCCAACCUCAAACCAUCUGCGCGCCUUGGCCUCCCAAAGUGUUGGGAUUACAGGCAUGAGCCACAGCGCCUGGCCGUGGGCAUAUUUUGUUAGAGAGUUAUAAUAUGUUUGGAACAGUUUAUUGGCUUGGUUAGCAAAUUGGGUAGGGUAAUUGCCAAGUACAGUGUCUGCCCUUUCAAAGCAGGAAGACCGCUUUUGGAGUUUAUAAGUCAGGAAUGUUUUUUGAGUUAACGUUGUAGGGAGAAGCGCCGAUUGGGCUGUAUAUGCCGACAAUGAGGAGAGUGAUAGGCACAUCCAACAAUUAUGAGCAUAGGAAGGAUUAGCUUGCCACAGCAGGGACUGAGUGAGAUUCAAAGAAAGUUCCAGAUGCUUAGCUUUGAGGAGUGACUUGAUGCGGGCUGCGGAUCCCAUUGUAGUGAGGAAAGGUAAACUUAGGGGAGAGGGAACAUCAGGCAGAAGGAAAAGAAAGUUAUUUGGGUGGGGGAGAAAUCCUAGGAGGUACCUUGAAGCCAUAAGUCCAACAGAAGGUUAAAGGUUUGAUUAGGGGAAACUAGAGGCUCCUCGUGAGGGGACCAGGUAAUGUCUGAGCUAAGGAGUGUGAGGAAGAGGUGAAAAUUGUGGGGAGAGGGCAACAUAGAAGAUUGAUAGGCUUUUAUUUAUUUUUAUUUUUAUUUUUGAGACGGAGUCUCUCUCUGUCACCAGGCUGGAGUGCAGUGGCACGAUCUUGGCUCACUGCAACCUCCAGCUCCCAGGUUCAAGCAAUUCUCCUGCCUCAGCCUCCUGAGUAGCUGGGAUUACAGGCGCGGACCACCACAACCGGCUAAGUUUUGUAUUUUUAGUAGAGACAGGGUUUCACCAUGUUGGUCAGGCUGGUCUCAAACUCCUGAUCUCGUGAUCCACUUGCCUCGGCCUCCCAAAGUGUUGGGAUUACAGGCAUGAGCCACCGCGCCCGGGUGAUAGGCUUUUAAUAGAGAGGUUUAGGUGGAAGUUUCUUCUUUGGGAAUCCUGGUUAGGCAGACAGAUGUAGGCCCCGUGGAAACACAGGAAAAGGUUGAGAGGGUUUUAUUCUGAGUUGGUGGGGGGCUGGAUGGUUUCUUUGAGGGAUGAGGGGUGGAACAAAUUAGGAAUUCCCUUGAGCUUAGUGGCUGUGGGGUAGCCAGAAUAAUCUAAUAAGGGCCAUCCUGCUUGGGCUUAAGAGGGUUGCUGGGGGUUUCUCUUGGGGUUUGGAGAACCUAGUCUCACUGAUGGAGAGAGGGGUUGUCUGUGCUUGGGAGUGGUUGGGGUAAGGUGCAGUUCACACAUUUCCAAAGGAAACUGCGGACUGCCUGUAGGAGUGGAGUAACAAGGGAAUCGGGGAGUGAAGGGGCUUUUUUGAGAUGGCGUAAAAGAGGCAAGAGGUCUCCUGUACAUGAAUUAAAUGCACUAAUCAUUAGGGGUUUGCGAGGGAGAGCCCUAAUUUUGAGAAGGGCGAGGGGCAAUAAGGUGGUCCAGUCUUUGUGGGUUUGUAAGGAGAAUUUUGUGAGAGUAUUUUUUAGAAUGCAAUUCAUCCUUUCUACCUUCCCAGAAGAUGGAGAUCAGUAAGGAAUAUGGAAUUUCCAAGUAAUAUGAAGGGCUUUUAUAAGAUUUGGGGAGGACAGGCCUGGUGUCUCAUGCCUGUAAUCCCAGCACUUUGGGAGGCCAAGGCAGGUGGCUAAAAUACUAAAGUAUUUUUUCGACUAAAAAUACAAAAAAUUAUCUGGGUGUGAUGGUGGGCACCUGUAAUCCCAGCUACUCAGGAGGCUGAGGCAGGAGAAUCGCUUGAACCCGGGAGGCAGAGGUUGCAGUGAGCUGAGAUCGCGCCAUUGCACUCCAACCUGGGCAACAAGAGUGAAACUUGGUCUCAAAUAUAUAUGUGUGUGUGUGUGUGUAUGUGUGUGUGUGUGUGUAUAUAUAUAUAUAUACACACACACACACAUACACAUACACACAGAAAGUAGUUUGGCGGCCACAGUAGAGGCUCUUUUAUUGGUGGCAGGGAGGCUUUCAGGGGGCAUGAAACCAUGUAUCUAGCUAAAAAUACAAAAAAUUUCCAGACGUGGUGGCACACGCCUGUAGUCCCAGCUACUCGGAAGGCUGAGGCAGGAGAAUCGCUUGAACCCGGGAGGCAGAGGGUGCAGUGAGCCAAGAUCGCCCCACUGCACUCCAGCCUGGGCGACAGAGGACAGAGCGAGACUCCAUCUCAAAAAAAAAAAAAAAAGAUAUUGGGGAAUUUCUUGAUUUGCUGAGGUCAUUCUGGCUCAUUUGUCAGCCUUGCGAUUUCCUAAGGAAAUAUGACCCUCAUUUGAUUGGUGUUCCCUGCAGUGAAUUAUUGCCACUUUUUGGGAGCAAGGCAGCCUGUAACAAAUGGCGAAUGAGCUUUCCAUUAACAAUGGGGGUUCACUUUGUGGUGAGGAAACCGCGUUCACUCCAAAUUUGGGCAUUGGAAUGAAUGAUGUUCUAUGCAUAUUUGGAGUCAGUGUAAAUAUUGACCUGUUUUCCUGCUGCUAGGGUUAGGGCCCUGGUUAUGGGCCUACCUGCUGGGAGGAUGUGCCUGCUGGUAAGAAAGAGGCUUCUAUGACUCUUCAGGGAGGGAGGACGGGGGUGUCAUCACGGUAUCCUUCCAUGAUAAUAUACCCUGCUGAGAAAGGAGGAACUCUGGACACACUGCUGUCUAGAAACCAGCCUGGAGCUCCCUUUAUAGGUGCGUUGGUUAAAUGAUGGAACGUGAUAAGGGAGUCAUCAGUGAUAUCAGUGCAGGAGUGCAGGGGUGACUCUAAGAGGGGUGUUGAGGGUAAAAGGGUGGCGGUGUUAGGAGGGGAGCAUUUACGGAGGGAGAGAAAGGAUUGGAGAAUGGCUGAGUGCAGGGUCUGGAUGCGGGAAGGGGAUACUGUUUGAAGUGCCCUGUGGCUGAGCAUAUCUUGCAAGUCAUGUGAUGAAUAAACUUGCAGGGGUUUAUAGAAGAUGAAAUUUUGUGCCUCUGGGAUAAUUAAAGAGGCUGUGGCUAAAAUGUUUAGGCAAAGAGGCCAACUUUUUUUUUUUUUUUUUUUUUGAGACGGAGUUUCGCUCUUGUUGCCCAGGCUGGAGUGCAAUGGCGCGAUCUCGGCUCACUGCAACCUCCGCCUCCCAGGUUAAAGCGAUUCUCCUGCCUCAGCCUCCCUAGUAGCUGGGAUUACAGGCAUGUACCACCAUGCCCGGCUAAUUUUGUAUUUUCAGUAGAGAUGGGGUUUCUCCAUGUUCGUCAGGCUGGUCUCGAACUCCUGACCUCAGGGGAUCUGCCCGCCUCGGCCUCCCAAAGUGUGGGGAUUACAGGCAUGAGCCACCGUGCCCAGCCGUGAGGCCAACUUUUAUAGAUAAGAUCUAGCUGCUUGAAGAAGUAUGCAACAGGUUGAAGAGAGUCCCCUGUGGGCUGGGCCAAAAGGCCUAAAGCUCCGUUUUGGGAGCUGUGUAAGUAUAAAUGGAAAGGUCGGCUGGGGUUAAGGAGACCCAAAGCAGGGGCCCAGGUUAGAGCUUGUUUUAAGCAGGACAAAGCAUGAUGAAGUUCAGGAGUAGGGGCAAUAAGCUCAGCGAGGUUUCCCUUUGAGGCCUCAUAUAAUGGCGUGGCAAUCACUACAAAAUUGGCAAUCCAUAGCUGGAAGUACUCCAUGAGUCCCAAGAAAGAGAGACAGUCUCUUUUGGUAUGAGGGAAUAGGAUGCUCUGGACCAUCUGCUUGUGUGUUGAGGGAAUUUCCCAGGUGGCAGGGGUAAUCAUGAGGCCCAGGUAUGAAACCUUGGAGGAGGCUAAUUGGGCCUUUUUUUUUUUUUGGACAGCUGGUAGCUGUACUGGGUGAGGGAGUUUAAAAGGGUAACAGUAUGCUGAAUAGAGAGUUCCUCUGAAGGGGAACAGAGCAGCAGAUCAUCUACAUAGCGAAGGAGGAUGGGAGGUGUUAGGCAAAGUUUAGAGAGGUCUGCUUGAAGGGCUUGUCCAAAAAAGUUGGGGGGCUGUGUCUGAAACCCUGGGGGAGGACAGUCCAUGUGAGCUGUUGGGAAAUGUUGGUAUCUGGAUCCAUCUGGGUAAAAGCAAACAGGUUUUGGGAAGAAGGGUAUAGAGGUAUAGUGAAAAAGGCAUCUUUUUUUUUUUUUUUUGAGACAGAGUCUCGCUCUGUCGCCCAGGCUGGAGUGCAGUGGCGCAAUCUCGGCUCACUGCAAGCUCCGCCUCCCGGGUUCAUGCCGUUCUCCUGCCUCAGCCUCCUGAGUAGCUGGGACUACAAGCGCCCGCCGCCAUGCCAGGCUAAUUUUUUGCAUUUUUAGUAGAGACGGGGUUUCACCGUGUUAGCCAGGGUGGUCUUGAUCUCCCAACCCCGUGAUCCGUCCGCCUCAGCCUCCCAAAGUGCUGGGAUUACAGGCGAGAGCCACUGUGCCUGGCCUGAAAAAGGCACUUUGAGGUCUAGUACUGAAAAAUGACUGGUAUGAGGGGGGAUUCUGGAGAGGAGUGUAUAGGGAUUAGGAACGACUGGGUGUGUAGGGAUGACAGCAGAAUUGAUUUGACGAAGGUCCUGGACAAGCCGGUAGGACCCAUCCAGCUUCCGGACAGGGACAAUAGGGGUGUUAUGAGGGGAAUGGGUUGGAAUGAGGAUGUUGGCAGCUAACAGUUGGGAGAUGAUGGGCUUGAGUCCCCGAAGCCUCUCAGGGCUGACAGAAUACUGUUGGACUGUGAUCUAAUGAGAAGGAUCCUUUAAUGAAAUUUUAAUGGGGAGUGGUGGGCCGCCACGACUGCAGAAUUUGUGUUGACCAAACAAUAGGAUUUGUUUGAGUUAUAAUGCUAAGGUCAGGUGUUGGCUCCUUAACUUCAGGUAGGGAGAAUUUGGGUUCCUGGCAUAAAAAUAAGUAGGGAUGGCUUUGGCCAAGAGCCCAAAGGUGGAGGAAGCCACGCAAUUUGUGCAGCAGGUCUCUACUUAGAAGAGGCAUGGGGCAAUGUGGGAUUAACAGGAAGCAAUGUAUGAGGGUGACGUCCCGAAAGGAACAAUAUAAGGGGAGUGUUUGGAGGGGAGUUUUCUGAAUGCCCUUUAUGCCAACAACAGAGAUUAAGGAGCAAAUUAGAGGUGUGGGGAACAAUCUUGGCAGAGGGAAGGACGUGAGCAAAGGUAAAUGAAGGAACUUCUUGCCAUUUGCCAUUUCGAUAAAUGAAGUUAUCUAAAUCCCUUAAAAUUUGGUGGUCGAAUGUGCCGUUUUCAGGCCAACGGUUGCCCUUGGCCUGAGGCCAGGCAGUAUUGCAAAAGAAUAUAAGGCACUUUACUUUAAUGUCCCCCUUUAUACCGAGUUUAGAAAGGUUACAAAUCAGGAAACCUAGAGGGGAGGAAGGAGUAAUUUGAGAUUGAUUGGAGCCCAUUGAGAUUUGGCAAGGAAAGGCCAGGGGUGUCUGCCGUUAGACUAGGCAUCCCCAGAAAAAGGGCAGAGACGGGAGAUCCUCUCAAGAGGAGGUAGACUGAGGGGAAAGGUCAGGCAUCCCUGAACGUCACCCUCCCAAGGUCUCUGAUGGUCCUAAUGGUCCCCAGGAGACCGGGACUGCGGACCUGAGUCUCCUGGGUAGCACAGGAGAGACAGGUGGGGGCAAACCUUACUAAUUAGUGUCUGGUGUUGGAUGUUUUAGAAGGAACCAGCAAAGGACCUCUCAAACUGGAGCCGUUGGGGAGAAACAGAAAGUAAAUUGCCCAGAUCCAGCGGUUGGAGGCAAAAUUCUGGGUCCGGGAGUUUUGAGAACCCAUCCAGGGGUAGCCCUGGCCACAGCCUCGAAGUCCUCUCCUGUCACUCAAUUACCUCAUGCAAAUCACUUUUAAAAAAGAGGAAGAGUUGAGGGACUAGGCGGGAAGCCAGAGAACCCUCAGGAUCCAGGAAUUAGCCAGGGAUGAGCUGUCGGGGCCCACUGCUUCCUGGGUUGCAAGAGUUCUCAGCCCCAAGACUCAUCCCGGGGUUUGGCAGCAAGUAUUGGAAUAGAAAGAUGAAGGAAAGAAGAGGCAAGAAGGCAGUUCUACAGUGGAGAUGGAUUUAUUAAGAGUAAACCUGAGAAGGGCUUCUGGCCAGCAGGCUCAGGAGCAAGCUUCUCAUAUAGCCUGAGGCUUUUUAAAGGGCCUGGUUGGGGAAGUGUGCUUUUUUUUUUUUUUUUUUGAGACAGAGUUUCACUCCUGUUGCCCAGGCUGGAGUGCAAUGGUGGGAUCUCAGCUCACUGCAACCUCCGCCUCCCAGGUUCAAGCAAUUCUCCUGCCUCAGCCUCCUGAGUAGCUGGGAUUACAGGCGCCUGCCACCACACCCAGCUAAUUUUUUUGUAUUUUUAGUAGAGACCUGGUUUCACCAUGUUGGCCAGGCUGGUCUUGAACUCCUGACCUCAGGUUAUCUGCCCACCACAGCCUCCCAAAGUGCUGAGAUUACAGGCAUGAGCCACCGCGCCCAGCCCGGAAGUGUGCUUUGAGGAAAGAUUCUAUGUGGAGGAGUUGGGGAAGUGCUGGCUGGUUGUGACUGUUGGGGACUUUGUGAGGUUCUGCUGCAGUUACAGCCUUAUGCUCUGUUGAAGCUAUGGGCAGGGUUGACAUUUGCGGACAGUUUUGAGACAUGGAAACUUGAUACUUUUAAGAUGGUGGAGACUUGUGAAGAUGGCGGCACUCUUGUCCUAUUAGACACAGCCUGUUGGGGGCCCCUCUCUCUUGGCUCCUCAGGGGCCAGCAUGGCCACCUCAAUCCCACCAGCUUCGAGACCUCAACUUCUCUGUGGGCCUCAGUGUCCUCAUCUGCAACUUGGAACAAAAACUCUGUCCUCAGCCAGCAGCCCUGGGGAGCUGGGAGAAACCAGGCAAUCAGCCCACUAGGUGGGCAGAGGAGAGGGUUCCAGGAGACAGCUGCAAAGCCUCCUGGGACUCUGAGGACAGAGAACCCUGGGGGUGGGGCUGGAGCUUUCUAGGGGCUGCCAGUGGUUGAACCCAAGGGCCGAGGCGGCAGCUGGGGGCCCUCUGCAGUGAGGAGGAGGUCCCGGCUGGAGGUCGGGAGAGGGGUCACCCAGCUUUGCAAUCUGAUGGGCAGGGAGGAGAAAGAGGCUAUGGUGCGCCUGCAUGGGUGCAUUGGAAGCUAUAAGGCUCCAGUGCGCGGGGCCGAUGGGCUCUAGGACCCUGGAAUUCUCUCAGCACCCGCCCACACACUGACCAGUCCCCAAGGCUUAUUAGUAUUGUGAUCGCUAUUAUCGAAGGACCCCCUCUCCCUGUCUCCUGCGCCCACCCACAGCUGUCCAGACUGGGGGAUGCGAGGAUGCCCUCCAGGUGUCCACAGCUGGGGUUCUGGGCCAGGGAUUACCAGAGUCUGAGCAGCCUUGGGGGACGCUGAGGCAGGGGGCCGGGGAGGAGGGCACCCGGGAAGAGGGUAGGGCAGGAGGUUUAUGGGAGGCCCCACAGGAAGAGAGGACGCCCUUCCCUCCCAUCCCCCGCAGGGAGGAGCUGAGGCUGGAGCCUGGGAGGGGAAGAUGGGAAAGGCGCUCCUGGCAGAAGGAACAGCGUGUGCUAAGGCCGGAGUGAGGCAGUAGCUGAGAAGCAGUUCUGUCUGGCCAAGGGGCCAGGAGGGAGGAAGAAACGGGUGGCGCGCAGGGCACCCACGGCAGGGCCUUGAAUGCCGGGAUAACUCAUUCCUCGCUCCUAGCGCGGGGCUGGGCCGCCCUUGGGCCCUGGGGAGGGCGUCAGGCGGGACCCUUUGUCCCUCCCUCCGCCCCCUCCCCUUCACUCUCCCCUUUCUCCCCCUCCCGCCCCUCCCCUCCUCCUCCCCGCUCUCCCCGGCCCUGUCCCGGGAAGGCUGGACCGGCCCGCGGCUUGCCCUUUCAAGUCGGCCUCCCGGAGUCUCCGGAGCCGUCCGAGCGCUGGGGCCGCUGGCGCGGACUUCAAAGCCCGCCGCCCCCAGCCAGAUCCGGUUGCGGGUGGGGCGGGCGAGCUGGGAGGGAGGCGGGUUUCGGUGGAUUCCCCUUUCAUCCCGCGGCUGCAGCCGGGCGCAGACCUCGGGGAGGCCCGGCGCGUCCCCGCUGGGCAAGUCCCUGCAGGGCAGCGACCGGGAACGGAGGGCUGGGGACGCCACGAGGCCGCGCCGCAGGGCGGGGGAGGCCUGAACCCAGACUGGGGGCUUCGGACCCGCCUGCGCUGUGGGACCUCAGGCCAGCGCCUACCUGUCGCUGGGCCUCAGCUUUCCUGAAUGCCCUACUCCCUGCCCAGGACUCCUCUGGGGAGGGGCAUUCGGGAACAUUCAGUGGCCCUUGGACAGCUGAGAUAGGAACAGGAAGCUAAGCUGGGAGCCCGGGCUCUCCUUGGGGUACCUGCCCGACCCCACCCAUCCCACCGGAGAGGAACCGCUUCCUGCAUCAGCCAAGCCCUGCCCGCAGUGUAACCCGUGGUCCAGCCUGGCCCUCUCUGGGCCUCAGCUUCCUGGAAGGCUGAGGGGGUGGCGGCUGAAUGCCCUCCCUCCGGGUUGAGGUGUAGCGCAUUCCUUCUUGCCGUCCUGUUUCCCGGUCCCUAAAGUAAGGGUGGAGGGAAAUGGCUCUCCCUUUCUGGUGUAACCAUAAGGAAGUGGCUGCCUGACAUUCUGUAGCCGUCCGCGUGCCCCAUCCAAGCCCCACAGAGCCCUGUGUGUAGAUUAAGAACAUCCUUUUUUUAGGUGAACAGCCUGAGGCAGAGGGGGUGUCGCUUGCCCCAGGUCUCAGCUGGCAGGAAAACUGGGACUUGACACAAAGUUACUUGGGCUUUCCUCCACCUUCCUCCCUGCCCGUGGUCCCCACUGAUUGCAAAACAGUCAUAGGGGAGGUGAGUCCAGGCUGGGAAUUUGGAAAGCAGACACUGACAUAACGUGGGGUGCAGGCGCAGGAGUAGUAUCACCCCCGCUUUACAGACCCAGAAACGGACACCGAGAGGUUGCGAAGCCAGACAAGGGGCAGAGCUGGGUAUUGACGCAGAUUUUUGGGGCCCCAGAGACUUGAGGUUUAGCCACUGCCUCUGGGGUGAGAGGGGCAGGGCACUUACUGUGUGUCAGGCCCAGGCUGGGAAGCAUCUUGAUCAACACAAGAACCCCAGCUGGGAGGUGGUGGUGUAGGAAAGGGGUCCAGAUCCAGACCCCAAGAGAGGGUUCUUGGAUCUCUCGCAAGAAAGAAUUCAGGGUGAGUCCAUAAAGUAAAAGCAAGUUUAUUAAGAAAGUAAAGGAAUAGGCCGGGCAUGGUGGCUCAUGCCUAUAAUCCCAGCACUUUAGGAGGCCGAGGUGUGCGGAUCACGGGGUCAAGAGAUCGAGAUCAUUCUGGCCAACAUGGUGAAACCCCAUCUCUACUAAAAAAUACAAAAAUUAGCUGGGCGUAGUGGUGCGCGCCUGUAGUCCCAGCUACUCGGGAGGCUGAGGCUGGAGAACAGCUUAAACCUGGGAGGCGGAGGUUGCGGUGAGCCAAGAUCACACCACAGCACUCCAGCCUAGCAACAGAGCGAGACUCCGUCUUAAAGAAGAAGAAGAAAAAAAAAAAAAGUAAAGGAAUAGGCCAGGCACGGCGGCUCACCCCUGUAAUCCCAGCACUUUGGGACGCUGAGGUGGGCAGAUCACCUGAGGUCGGGAGUUUGAGAUCAGCCUGGCCAACAUGGAGAAAUCCCAUCUCUACUAAAAAUACAAAAAUUAGCCAGGCAUGGUUGCAUGUGCCUGUAAUCCCAGCUACUCAGGAGGCUGAGGCAAGAGAAUGGCUUGAACCCAGGAGGCGGAGGUUGCAGUGAGCUGAGAUCGCACCACUGCACUCCAGCCUGGGCGACAGAGCAAGACUCUGUCUCAAAAGAAUGACUACACCAUAGAGCAGCGCUGAGGGCUGCUGGUUGCCCAUUUUUAUGGUUAUUUCUUGAUGAUAUGCUAAACAAGGGGUGGAUUAUUCAUGUCUCCCCUUUUUAGACCAUAUAGGGUAACUUCCUGUCAUUGCCAUGGCAUUUGUAAAUUGUCAUGGCGCUGGUGGGAGUCUAGCAAUGAGGACAACCAGAGGUCACUCUGGUUGCCAUCUUGGUUUUGGGGGGUUUGGCCAGCUUCUUAACUGCAACCUGUUUUAUCAGCAAUGUCUUUAUAGCCUGUAUUUUGUGCCGACCUCCUAUCUCAUCCUGUGACUUAGAAUGCCUUAACCGUCUGAGAAUGCAGCAGCCCAGUAGGUCUUGCCUCAUUUUACCCAGCCCCAUUCAAGAUGGAAUUGCCCUGGUUCAGACACCUCUGACAGUGAUACGACCAUUGCGCAGGCCUGGGACUGAGACACAGAGAAGUGAAUGGUGAGGCCAGGCACAGUGGCUCAUGCCUGUAAUCCCAGCACUUUGGGAGGCCGAGGCGGGUGGAUCACCUGAUGUCAGCGGUUCGAGACCAGCCUGGGCAACAUGGUGAAACCCCAUUGCUACUAAGAAUACAAAAAUUAGGCCAGGUGCAGUGGCUUACGCCUGUAAUCCCAGCACUUUGGGAGGCCAAAGCAGGUGAAUCACCUGAGGUCAGGAGUUCAAGACCAUCCUGGCCAACAUGAUGAAACCCUGUCUCUAAUGAAAAUACAAAAAUCAGCCACUCGUGGUGGCAGGCACCUGUAAUCCCAGCUACUCUGGAAGCUGAGGCAAGAGAAUCACUUGAACCGGGGAGGUGGAGGUUGCUGUGAGCCGAGAUCGCACCACUGCACUCCAGCCUGGGCGACAGAGCGAGACUCCAUCUCAAAACAAACAAACAAAAAAAUUAGCUGGGCGUGGUGGCACGCCCCUGUAAUCCCAGCUACUCUUGAGGCUGAGGCAGGAGAAUCACUUGAACCAGGGAGGUGGCAGUUGCAGUGAGCUGAGAUCACACCACUGCACUCCAGCCUGGCGACAGAACGAGACUCCAUCUCAAAUAAAAAGUAAAUGGUGGGCCCCAGUCUCACCAGAAGUGACUGAGUCAGAAUUGGAACCCAGUCUGCCUGGCUCCUAUGCCCCUGCACUUGAUUUAGAGCUUUGCCCAAAGAGAGCUGUACUGCUUACCCACUCGCACCAAACACUGCAUGGUUCCAGAGCCCUGGAAGGGUGUCUCUGCGUGGGGCCUAAUCUGCCAAGAGGGGGCAGUUUUAACGGGCUUCCAGCAUGAUGCUGAAUGUACCCAGGCUGGUGGGCUGGGACAAGUGCCCAGGUAUCUAGCAGAUGCCGCCCCAGCCCAGAGAUUUAAAAUUCCUCCCUGGAAAAAUCAGAUAAUCAAAGAAGUCAAAUACCGUGAAAUGAAUGUGAUCCCUGCCAGAAGCCCAGAGGGAACAUCUGAGAAACACUGCAUUGCAAGUGCAGGCACGGGACCCUCCCCCUUGCCGUAUAGGCAGGGAAACUGAGGCACGGUAUGUGGCAGGGAGAUGUUCACAGAUAGGAUCCCCAUCCCUUUGCGCAGCGUUCAUUCAGGGCCUUCUCUGUGGCAGGCUCUGUGUUAGGGACCUGUCCAGUCUCUGCAUUCUUGGAGCUCAGGGGCUACUGAGUAUGGUCCAUGUGUGCCAGCAAUGCCACCACUGUUCCGUCCUGAUUGUGGUAAGUGCCACACAAGGAGAACUGUGGGGAGCUGGUUUCAUUUGGAAGAGCUUCCCUGAGGAGGUGACAUCUGAGAUCUGAUGUUAAGUGGGAACCCGUGAAGCUGGUAGGAGAGCAUUCUGGGUAGAGAGGAGGGCAUGUGCAAAGGCCCUGGGGUGUGAAGGAGUUUGGCUCAGGAGCUAAAGGAGAAGCCAGAGGCCUACUGCAGAGUGUGAGGGGAAGCACAGAGGGGGAAGAAGGAGAGAGGAGGGAGGAGGCAGAGGGGCCGGGGCCUUGGGGCUCAGAGGAGUCCCCAGGACUUCAGUGCUGGGGUGCCGGGGGGAGGGACAAGCAGGGGGAGUCAAGGCUGGCAACCAGGAAUCCUGCCGGACGGACGUGCUCAGGGACACCCCAGGACUGCAAACCCCAGGAGAGUCCUGACUGGGAACAGGAGAGCAGAGGGAGCGGUCUCCAGUCUUGCUCUAAAGCCGGCUCUGUUCUCUCCUAAAAGAAAAAGGAGAUCAAAAGGAAAAUUUGCAAGUUAGAUUUACCCUCAAUUCUAUUAAACCACCAAAAACUGUCGAUAAAUAAUAUUAAGGUCUUUUUUUCUUUUUGAGACGGAGUCUUUGUCACCCAGGCUGGAGUGCAGUGGCAUGAUUUCGGCUUACUGCAACCUCCGCCUCCUGGGUUCAAGCAAUUCUCCUGCCUCAGCCUCCCAAGUAGCUGGGAUUACAGGCAUGAGCCACCCUGCCCGGCCCAUAAUAUUAGGGUCUUAACUCCACAAACGCUAGAAAUUUCAGCCUGGAAGGCCCAUGGAGGCCAUUCCCUGUCCUCCCAGCAUUGGGGAUGCGGGAGGGGAGCCAAGAGGCUCUGGGUGGGAAGGUCUGGCCGGGUCUGUUCAGCCAGUGGGCCCCUCCCCAUCCUUCUUGGGCAGGCCCCCAGGUAGACCCAGGGGUGUCCCCAGGUGUGGUCUGGUCCUUCUCAGAAGUGCAGUGUUUACAGGGAUGGGCUGUUCCUCUGGUAGGAUGGACAGCUGCUUGGAGGAGGGUGGUGAACACCUUUUUUUUUUUUUGAGAGGGAGUCUUGCUCAGUUGCCCAGGCUGCAGUGCAAUGGCGAAAUCUCAGUUCAUUGCAACCUCUGCGUCCCGGGUUCAAGCGACCCUGUCACCUCAGCCUCCCGAGUAGCUGGGAUUACAGGCACGCGCCACCACGCUUGGCUAAUUUAAAACAUAUAUUUUUAGUAGACAUGGGGUUUCACCAUGUUGGCCAGGCUGGUCUGGAACUCCUGAGCUCAAGUGAUCUGCCCGCCUCGGUCUCCCAAAGUGCUGGGAUUACAGGCGUGAGCCACUGAGCUGGCCAGGGGUGAGCAACUCUUAUUCCUUGUCUGGAGAAGGAGGGAAAGAGAGUGGAGGGAGAGGAAGGACAGGGAGGAGGAGGGAGUCAGAAGAGAAGAAAGCGGGAAGGAGGAGGAGAGAGAGAGGGAAAAACAGAGAGAAGAAGGGGAGAGAGGAGGCAAGCAGCAGGGAGGGAGAGAAGGAAGAGAGGAAGGGGGAAAGGAAAACAGACAGGAAGGAGGGAGGGAGGAAGGAGGGAGGGAGACAUGAGGGAGUUAAGGGGGAGGGAGGGAACAAGUGGAGAAAGCAAAGGAGAGAGAAGGGAGGGAGGAAGGAGGGGUAAGAAGGGAGGAAGAAGAAAAUUAGGGGGUAGAAGGAAGGGGGCAAGAAUGUGGAGGGAGGGGAGAGAUGAGGGAGGAAAAGGGAGGAGAGAGGAAAGGAGAGAGGAGGAGGGGGAGAAUGAGGGAGGGGAGGAGAGGAGAGGGGAGAGGAAGAGGGAAGGGGGAGGAGGCUGUGCCGAGUGGCAGUCACUGGGGAGGGGUGUCCCCACUGUCUGUCACUUCCCUCAUAAUGGUAUCAGCUCCUCCCCGCUGCUGGCCUUGGGCCAGGGAUCUCCGGGUGGUGCCCACCUAAUCCUCACAAAAGGACUCGACCUCAGUCACCCAGCUCACCAGACCCCAAGCCUGGGCAGUUCACCUGAGGUCUUCCACCCCAGGCCCUCCCUGGGCCUAACCCACGGGUUGACUCAGGAGCCAGGUGCCAUGCGUGUCCAUGCGUUCAUGCGUGUGCUGUGUGUGUGUGCGCGUGUGUGUGGUUAGGAGUGCAGACCUGGGCAGGACUGACUGGGUCUGGAUCCUGGCUUUGCCACUUCCUGGCUGUGUGACCUUGGGUGAGUGACCCAACUUCUCUGUGCCUCAAGUGUGAGGAGUAAAUGAGUAAAUCAGAGAAAUCCCACAGCACAGUGCCUGAAAUAGAGUUAGUGUUCAACUUUAUCUACUAUGAUUAUUAUUCCAAAAAGGCUGACCAUGAGAUUUCUUUAGGAACGGGCUCUAAACUGGAGGAAAGGGUUUGUGGAUGGGUCUCAGAAGGUCCUAGAAGGGCCUAGAACUGGUUGUAAAGUUUUUGUGGUUGAGUGGGGUGUUUUUCUGGACAAAGCAGGUCCUCAGCUUACAGUGUUCUCAUGACCCCUCAGGUUGUGUCCCUUGCACCAGGGUGGUGGCACCUCCAGUACUUUGGAGGUUUCAUCCCACACAACUUUUUAUUGAUUGAUUUAGUUUUAAUUAAUGAGUUUAUUUUUUAAAGAGAUGGGGGGGGGUCUCACUUUGUUGAUCAGACUGGUCUCAAAUUCCUGGCUUCAAAGCCAUCUUCCUGCUUAGCCUCCCGAAGUGCUGGGGUUACAGGUGUGAGCCACACACAGCUUUUGAGGGGCUGUUGUCACCUGCCCCCGGCUAGUCAGGACAGGACCCAAGUUGUCCUGCAGACCUGCCAUAGUCGCCCACACAUGAGGCCACACAUGCUCAGGGAAAGUGAGCCCCUUCACUCAAGAAUUCUUUAAAGGCUGAGACAGCAACGCACUUUGUAACUAAACCAGCGCCCUUCUCCAGGAUGGGGAGGCGCAAAAGCAGAUUUCAAAGGCGAGCUUUGGAUAAACAAACACAAUAAAAAUAAUGCUUUGAACCCAAAUGCUGAACUGAGCAGCAAUCCCAGGCACAUUCAGCCAGCUGAUGCCAGUCCUCCCUGGCGACCAGACAGGCCCAGGGGGCGUUCCAGGAGCCUCAGUGGUACAGCUGGAGCCUAGGAGACCAAGCACCCACAUCAGCCCGGUCCCCCUAGUGAGCCACCUGGCCCCACCCCACCCUCCAGGCCUAGCUGGGACUCCCGCCAGCUCCAUCCUGUGGCUCCGUCAGGCUGAGAGGGUCUAUUACCCAAACCUCACCUGCUGAAGCUGGGGGCUUCCCCAUCUGGUAUCAGGGAGAUUGUAAGUCUGUGGUGAGGGGCAGUGCCCACCUGGGGAACAUGAGCCUGUUCCUGGGGGGCCACUGCAGCUUGGUGAGUUCCAAUCCUGGUUCUGCUGUGUGGCCUCAGGACAGUGGCUGCACCUCUCUGAGCCUCAUGUGGAACUGGGGAUCAUCACAGUACCUCCUUGGCUCCCUCCUUGGCAGCCCUUGCAAUUAGGGCAGGAGAGAAGCUGUGGGGAGGCCGAGGGGGGGUUGGCGAGCACGCAGAAGGACAUGGAUUCCACUGCGCCAAGGCCAGGCUCUGCGCCUGGACCACCAGAACACCCACACUUGCUGUGUGACACUCUGGGCUCCGGUUUCUCCAUCUAUACAAUUCAGUGGCCUUGAGAGAGCCUUUUAUGAUUUCCUGCUUGGACUGUGAAGUGAGAAGCUAAGUGCAGAAGAGUGUGUACAAUACAGAAUGUAUGUGAAAUCCACACGAAAAUUUGAAAACCACGCAGGCACACGCCUCCUUGUAUGUGCACAGAAUACCUCUGGGAGGUACACAGGAAACUGGGUUUCCCAGUGGGAGGGACCAGGGCUAGGUGAGAGGCCGGGGGGAGGGGCUUUCUUCCCACUGGUUUCUUGUUUGUGCCUUCCAAAUGCUGUACACAAGCAUGUUAUCUACUCAAUACACAGGUGUUUUUUGUUGUUUUUUUUUUGAGGUGGAGUCUCGCUCUGUUGCCCAGGCUGGAGCGUAGUGGCGCAAUCUCGGCUCACUGCAACCUCUGCCUCCCGGGUUCACCCCAUUCUCCUGCCUCAGCCUCCCGAGUAGCUGGGACUAUAGGCGCCUGCCACCAUGCCCAGCUAAUUUUUUGUAUUUUUAGUAGAGACGGGGGUUUCACCGUGUUAGCCAGGAUGGUCUCGAUCUCCUGACCUUGUGAACUGCCCGCCUCAGCCUCCCAAAGUGCUGGGAUUACAGGCAUGAGCCACAGCGCCCGGCAGUGUAGGGGUAUUUUUAAAGGCCUCUCUGGUUGGGCGCAGUGGCUCACGCCUGUAAUCCCAGCACUUUGGGAGGCCGAGGCAGGUGGAUCACUUGAAGUCAGGAGUUCAAGACCAGCCUGGCCAACAUGGUGAAACCCUGUCUCUACUAAAAAUACAAAAAUUUCCAGACGUGGUGGCACACACCUGUAAUCCCAGCUACUUGGGAGGCUGAGACAGGAGAAUCGCUUGAACCCGGAAGGCGGAGGAUGCAGUGAGCUGAGAUUGCAUCACUGCACUCUAGCCUGGGCAACAGUGUGAGACUCCACCUCAAAAAAUAACAAGAAACACCUGUCUCAAAAAUAAAAAUAAAAGUCCUCUCAGAGCUUUGCUGCUCCUGACCUGCCUGAUGCUGGCCUAGCUCCCAGGGAGCUGCCCUGAGGGGUCCUGGGGAGCCACGGCAGGGUUUUGGGGUCAGGCAGGACAAAGCUCACUCCUGACUAUCAUCUCCAGGGAGCUGCCCAUCUGACCAGCCUCGCUCCAGCCCCUCGGCCUCUCUGUCUGGCCGAUUCUUCCAGGAGACCCUCUGCGACCCUCUCACCAGCCCUCCGCCCAGCCGCAGCUCAGCAUCGCCAUAAUUUAGUGUCUGUGUAUGGGGUAGCUACAGUCUGUGGGGCCCAGGGUAAAAUGAAAAGCAGGACCCCUCGUGCCUCAUGUAUUGCAAAUUUCAAGAUGGCAACCACAUAGCAUGAAGCCUGUGCAGGGCCCUUCUAAGCCUGGGGCCCUGUGCGCCUGCAGGGGUCACACAUCUGUGCAGCUGGCCCCAUCUAUAUCUCCCCAAUCCAGACACUGGCUCCCCAGGACAGAGUUUGCCAGGAUAGCCAGCCUGGACGCACUGGCUAUGGCCCUGCUGGGCUAGUGGAAAUCUAGGCCAGCUUCCUGGAGGAAGAAACCUCAGCCUCAGAGGAGGCAGCUGCUCUGUGCUCCCCUGCACAGCUGCCUGAACCUCCCUUUCUUAUAUGAUUUCUUAUCUGGAGCUCAGCUGUGUGACCCUGGUCAAGUUACUUAACCUCUCUGUGGGCUGGUUUCUUGAUCUGCAGGGAUUGGGCCUACUCCCCAGAGAUGUGCCCUCCUUCAAGGGGAGGUAAGCUUUAAGCACGGACGUGUUAGAGCAGCAUCUGCAAAUAGCACUUGCUCGAUAGCUUUCGUCCUGAUUCCUCUGCGAUUUCCUGCUGGACUCUGAGCUUCAUGAGGUCAGGGCCCGGGUUCAUCUUGCUCUCACGGAUUCCUGGCUGCCCUGAUUAACAUGGCCAGAUAAUCCACAUGACCAGAACAGCUGUGGGCUGUGUUAGAAGUUACUAGAAGUUACUUGUGGCCGGCCUGGGGAGGUGACGUCCCCCAGAGAACAUGCUUCGGGUCACUGAGAUGGCUGCAAAGUGUAUGGACCAGGACGUUCCUGUUGGAAGAUUCUUUUGAGGUUUGCUGCGCUCUUCAGCCAUCAGAGAAGUCUUCCCAGAGCCAGGCAGGGGGGCUCCCUGGGAGUUUGGGGGCAUCACUGAAGCCCCCUCAGCUGCCAGGUGCAGUAAAUAAGCCAGGGAAACAUUGGUGGGUGAGUCUUUAAGGGUGCCCGGGCUCCAUGAUGGCAGAGGCAGAGGAGCUGCUCCCGGCUGCCGUGCUUGGGGUCCGAGUCUGACUGGGAGAAUUCCAGAGCCCUAGAGACACCUGGCCCAGCCUG
Molecule: long non-coding RNA, 27497 nt
Filed under: Homo sapiens (human)
Lineage: Eukaryota; Metazoa; Chordata; Mammalia; Primates; Hominidae
Description: non-protein coding lnc-NTMT1-2:3
Source: RNAcentral